This 253-nucleotide ribosomal RNA is filed under the name uncultured bacterium. Its description in RNAcentral is "partial 16S ribosomal RNA". It matches the Rfam family "Bacterial small subunit ribosomal RNA", at positions 524 to 776 of the family's 1533-position model. The record is from RNAcentral.
UACGUAGGGCGCAAGCGUUGUCCGGAAUUAUUGGGCGUAAAGAGCUCGUAGGCGGUUUGUCGCGUCUGCUGUGAAAACGCGAGGCUCAACCUCGCGCCUGCAGUGGGUACGGGCAGACUGGAGUGCGGUAGGGGAGACUGGAAUUCCUGGUGUAGCGGUGGAAUGCGCAGAUAUCAGGAGGAACACCGGUGGCGAAGGCGGGUCUCUGGGCAGUAACUGACGCUGAGGAGCGAAAGCGUGGGGAGCGAACAGG